RNAcentral lists this ribosomal RNA (463 nucleotides) under Vibrio cholerae. RNAcentral describes it as "bacterial SSU rRNA". It matches the Rfam family "Bacterial small subunit ribosomal RNA", at positions 1 to 459 of the family's 1533-position model. Lineage: Bacteria; Pseudomonadati; Pseudomonadota; Gammaproteobacteria; Vibrionales; Vibrionaceae. The record is from RNAcentral.
UUAAUUGAAGAGUUUGAUCAUGGCUCAGAUUGAACGCUGGCGGCAGGCCUAACACAUGCAAGUCGAGCGGCAGCACAGAGGAACUUGUUCCUCGGGUGGCGAGCGGCGGACGGGUGAGUAAUGCCUGGGAAAUUGCCCGGUAGAGGGGGAUAACCAUUGGAAACGAUGGCUAAUACCGCAUAACCUCGCAAGAGCAAAGCAGGGGACCUUCGGGCCUUGCGCUACCGGAUAUGCCCAGGUGGGAUUAGCUAGUUGGUGAGGUAAGGGCUCACCAAGGCGACGAUCCCUAGCUGGUCUGAGAGGAUGAUCAGCCACACUGGAACUGAGACACGGUCCAGACUCCUACGGGAGGCAGCAGUGGGGAAUAUUGCACAAUGGGCGCAAGCCUGAUGCAGCCAUGCCGCGUGUAUGAAGAAGGCCUUCGGGUUGUAAAGUACUUUCAGUAGGGAGGAAGGUGGUUAAG